Molecule: ribosomal RNA, 254 nt
Filed under: uncultured bacterium
Lineage: Bacteria
Description: partial 16S ribosomal RNA
Rfam family: Bacterial small subunit ribosomal RNA
Source: RNAcentral
UACGUAGGGUGCAAGCGUUGUCCGGAAUUAUUGGGCGUAAAGAGCUCGUAGGCGGUUUGUCGCGUCUGCUGUGAAAAUCCAGGGCUUAACCCUGGACCUGCAGUGGGUACGGGCAGACUGGAGUGCGGUAGGGGAGAUCGGAAUUCCUGGUGUAGCGGUGAAAUGCGCAGAUAUCGGGAGGAACACCGGUGGCGAAGGCGGUUCUCUGGGCCUUACCUGACGCUGAGGAGCGAAAGCGUGGGGGAGCGAACAGG